RNAcentral lists this ribosomal RNA (347 nucleotides) under uncultured bacterium. RNAcentral describes it as "partial 16S ribosomal RNA". It matches the Rfam family "Bacterial small subunit ribosomal RNA", at positions 338 to 682 of the family's 1533-position model. The record is from RNAcentral.
CCUACGGGUGGCAGCAGGGAGGAAGAGUGGGCAAUGGACGAGAGUCUGAACCAGCCAAGUAGCGUGAAGGAUGACGGCCCGAUGGGGGGUAAACUGCUGUUAUAGGGGAAUAAAAUGUUCCACGUGUGGGAUUUUGUAUGUACCAUAUGAAUAAGGAGCGGCUAACUCCGUGCCAGCAGCCGCGGUAAUACGGAGGAUCCGAGCGUUAUCCGGAUUUAUUGGGUUUAAAGGGAGCGUAGGUGGAUUGUUAAGUCAGUUGUGAAAGUUUGCGGCUCAACCGUAAAAGUGCAGUUGAAACUGGCAGUCUUGAGUACAGUAGAGGUGGGCGGAAUUCGUGGUGUAGCGGU